Long non-coding RNA from Fukomys damarensis (Damara mole-rat), 3814 nucleotides. RefSeq lists it as uncharacterized. The record is from RefSeq and is a predicted model, not a curated record. The transcript has 3 exons. Lineage: Eukaryota; Metazoa; Chordata; Mammalia; Rodentia; Bathyergidae.
CCCUCCUGCCUGGUCCACGCCUGGAGCCCAAGCUGGGAGGACCGCCUGUCCGGAAGGCACUCACUCCGGCGGAAGGCCCUCUCGCCCACAGCUCACCCUCCCUGCUCUGGAUGAUGGCAGAAGCCAUACACAGUCCUAGGAACAGCCCAAUGGUUCCAUCCUGUGGUGCCCUUGGGGAUCAGGAGUGAACCUCAUCCAGGCGGUACCGGGGACUGAACCCAGGAGCUCACAGUGCUCGGAAGGGCUCUGCGACUGAGCUACACCCAGCUCUCUUUAUUAUUUUGCAGCAAGAGCUCCCUAAGCUGCUAGGUCGCCUGGGCUGGGCUCAAAUUUGCCAUCCUCUUGCCUCAGCCUCCCAAAGUGCUGAGAUUACAGGGGUCACCGCCAUGCCCAGUGGCUUCUUUCAGGGAUGGUUUCCCUGACAGAGCAGGAGGGGAGCCGGCUGGGGCACCAGGAGGAGGAAGAAGCGAGUAUAUGUCUCUGCCCCUCUUUUCCUGCCCCAUCCUAAACCCCAACCUCGUGACUCUUCAUGCUGUUGGGGGAAAUGCUGAGCCUCCUCAGGCCGUUGCCCGCUGCUGUUGCCGUGCCACGCAGUGCCACCUUGGCCUUUCCUGGAGCCCCGCUCAGAGCCACCUUGCCGGCAUGGAGCUCAGGCCCCAAGGCCCCAGACAGGUGCAUUCAUGCCCGUGCGCAGGUGCCCUGCACAGCCCUGCACAGAGUGGGCACUGGACUCAGAAUUUCGUGUAGAGCGUGAGGCAGCGGCCGGUGCCACCUUUAUCCCUAGGCCACCUCUGACCUUUAGUGACAGUUGCCAAGCACUUGGGUCUGGCUUUCUCCUACUCCCUGGGCAGUGGCCACCUGCCAGUGCCUAACUAGGCCAGAGCUGGGGCACAAUCUGGGGAGACUGCACCCCGCCCAUCAGCCUGCUGGGACAGCCAUUGCCUGAGCCCUAGGGGGAUGGGGCUGGGGACCCUGCAGGAACAGCAGGGUUGGGGUGGGGAAGGACCAGCAGAGUACGGAGGAGGCUGGGCCCCAGGGGCUAAGAGGACUGGGAGUGCCUGGCAUCAGAGCACCCCAAAGUCACAGGGGUGCUGGGUCCGAGCCAGCCCAUGCAGUCCAGAGGGUGUAGGGCUGGCAAGCAGGCCCGGGACAGCCCCCAGGGCAGGCACGCUUGGGAACCUGCACCCCAUGCAAGCCCAUGAGACACAAGCCUCUCCCCAGCCCCCAGAGUCAGAUCCCACUGCUCACAGGGCCCUACAGAGUUCAUAGACCCUGUCUGAAGGCUGCACACACUCGUCACCUAUAGUCCCUGCUCUCAGGAGGCCAAGGCAGGAGGAUCGCUUGAGCCCAGGAGUCCAGGGCCAGCCCAAGUAACAAGGUAAAACAAAAAGAUCUGGGACCCUGGAGUAGGGCUGGGUCAUGAGUCCCAGCUUGGACUCCAGGCCCAGUGCUUGGACUCAUUACCUUACUUGGCCACUCACUGGUACAGCCAGGAUCCCACAGCCAACCCUUCUGGGUCAACCCCAUGUCCCCACUGCCAGGUGGGGGCAUCUGAAGAACAGGGCUGAUAACCAGUCCUGGCUUUAAGUUUCAGCCACACCACAGGGCAUGAGAGAGGGGACCAGGAGGGAAGACCAUGGAGCCCCAAAUCAGAGCAGGGGUUGGGCUAGGGCAGCCCUGGCCUGGGGACAGGAAAGCCCAGAGCUGCUUGGAGCUGUCCUUUUCCUGCAGGGACAGCCUCUUGGUGUCUGCUGGCGUCGCUGCCCCUUCCCAGUCCUCCCCUCGGUCCCAGGCUCUUACCCUGGGACAGCCCGGCCCAACUGGGGACACUGUACGGCUAGAUGUCAAAGUCCCUGGGCAGAGGACAGGGACCAGCAGAGUGAGCUGAGGCACUGUCUGGCCACCAGGAGCUCCCAGGGGGCCAGGAGAGGAGGACCGUAGGGAAGAGGUCCUCUGCAGGCCAGUCCUGAGCUCCCCUCACCUUGGCAGGUGAAGCCAUCGGACCAGCCCACCCCGCCCAGGCCAUAGCCAGGUGGGCACUGGAGCAAUUCACCCAACCUGCUGUGCCCGGCAAGGCCACACACAGUGGGGUCUGAGGUGCCAGGCAGGCGGGGCCUCACCCCUGUCUGACAGGGGCCUGCAGAAUGGCGGGUCAGCACCCCUCCCCUCCCGCCCAACCCAUUUGGCGCUCAGCCCGCUCUGAGUGGAGCCAGCUCUCGUUUGCAGCCGGUGUUAAUUAAGAGAGAGAGGUGCUGGGGGAGGCAGGGAGGGCUGCGGAGGGCAGCUCCGACAGCCACGCGCUGUGGGCCUGAGGCGCCCCCUUCCUCCCUUGCUGCCCUAGGUGGGCUGUACCACAGUCCCUUGGGCCACACUCAAGCCCUCCUCUUUGUGGCUUGGCUUGGGAGUGAGACAGAUCUGGUUCUGAUCCUGCCACUGCCACUGUGAGCCUCCGCCUCUCGGGGCCUCAGCGUCCUUCUCUGUGAAGAGGGAACAACAGGCCCCUCCCUGGUGGCCUUGCUGUGAUGAGGGGGACCAUUUGCCCCAAGCCCUGAAUCUGCCCUUGGUCAGUGGGAAGCAGAGACCACGUGCAGAGCCAGCCCCGCCCAGCCUGGGAUCCACCGCCCCCUCCAACUCAGCCUGCUCGCCCCUGCCCAGCGCUCAGCUCCCUUUCUCCCUCCUCCCUGCGGCCCCCACCUCGUUCAGGGAGCGCCAGGCCGCUCCUUGCCUCUCCAUCUUAAUUAGCUGCUUGUAUUAAUCUCACAAGUAACAUGGCAACUUGCAGCCCCGGGUGUUCGGGCUGUGGAAUUAAUUAUUCCCCAAGCGAAGAGCUGUCAGGUCUGGGAGACCAGCCACUGGAGCCCCCGACACCACUUAGCAGUGUCCCCAGCUUCUGCACAGCCCUCCUACAGGAGGGGAGAGGAGCCGAAGACCCAGCCUGGGAGCCCGGACCCCAGGCCCACCUGGGCAGUUCCGGGUCCGCUGCAGCCCACACCCUGCCUGGUGGAUCCAGGAGCUCGCCGGGGUCACAGGCUGGAACCGGAAGUGGGAGGCCGGGCAGGGCCGUGGACGAGGCCGUCAGCCACCUGGGAAGUGGGAAAGGCGGCCUGCAGGGCACAGUGAGAGGCACAGAGCUGCCCGGGAAAGUGGUAGUGGAGCACUGCCUGGCGCCACCUGCCUUCUGUGCCAGAGUCAGGGCCCUCUCUGGGGCUGGGGCCAGAGCUGGGGUGCCCUCUCCCUCCACCGCCACACGGACCCUAGAAGGGAUGGCACCCCAGGCACAAUGUGUUGGGCCCGGGCUUGGCACCCUGUGGCUGUCCCUGCCAGGCAGCCCAUUCCUGCUCCUGUCCUCGCGGCUCCUGCUCCCCCUGGCAGCGCUGUCCACACUGUGGUCGUAGAGGUGUGAGCCCAAGGUCAGGGAUCAGGCCAUCUGUACCCCAUGCCUCCCCAGGGCCAGGCCCCACUGCACCUCAGGGUCGCCCACCACACCUUCUGAGGCUGUGGGGCAAAAGAAGGACGCACAGUGCGUGUCCUCCACCAGCCAAACCUCGCAGGCGGCUGCCUCCCUGAUGGCUCCCCUCUGCCCUACAAACCUCAGGCCACUAGGAGCAUCAAGGGAGAAGAGUCCCGGCCCCUCUAACCCCCCCACCCCGUCACCUGCCCCUGCUCGAGGGGCUAGGAGGCCCUGUAACCAGAGACUGAGGACCUGGGGUUCCGGGCCUGCUCUAAGGGGGCAACCGACAGCCACUCCAAGACCCUCCUUAGCGCGCUGCCUGCCCUGCCCCGGACAGUUCCCUACUGACUGCUUCUCUCUCUC